CCCCUCUCAAGGUCACACCUGGAGAGUUUCCAAUACUCUACCAGUCUUGGCUAUGGGAGAGAGAGUCAAGCAGAGACAUACCCAUUCCAUUCCUAGCUUGGCCAGUGGCUAGCAAGUGGAAGGCAAUCCGCUACAAGU
Molecule: small nucleolar RNA, 138 nt
Filed under: Ornithorhynchus anatinus (platypus)
Lineage: Eukaryota; Metazoa; Chordata; Mammalia; Monotremata; Ornithorhynchidae
Source: RNAcentral